This is a long non-coding RNA of Pieris napi, 1909 nucleotides long. RefSeq lists it as uncharacterized. The transcript is spliced from 2 exons. The record is from RefSeq and is a predicted model, not a curated record. NCBI's taxonomy places the organism in Eukaryota, Metazoa, Arthropoda, Insecta, Lepidoptera, Pieridae.
GCCGCGUCUGGGGGACUUCUUUCAUGAAAAGGACUAUACGUAAGUAUACACUUUUUUUUUUUUACAUUGACAAAAUUCUUACAUACUAUUAGACUGAAAUAAUGGUACGGAACAUUGUCUUGACUGACAUUUUCAAUUUUGACAGUUCUCACAUUGACGUCUACUAAAUUGACAUAACUGUGUUUUGACAGCUACACAAAACAAAAUUAGGUUAAAGACAUUAAACAAUACAUUUACAAACUAAGUACAAAUUAUGAACUUAAUCUAGAUUCUAGACUAAUUACCAAAAUCUUCGGGGCUUUAUGAUAGCUCUGCCGAAUGAAGAAUAAGUUGUGUGGUGAGUACGUGUAUUUGGUGUAUGUGAUGUGUUUGUUUUAGAUUCUUGGACAGGAUUAUUUCUACCAGGGGAUUGAUAAUUCGAUGGAGAAGACGGCGAUACAUUGGAAGGGGACGUUGGAUCAGUAUCUUGUGGAACUGACGGGGAUGGAAGUGAACUACUACUAGGAGGGGACUCAGAGGGUGAAAGUUUUGGUUGUAGGAUGUGUUGGCGAUUACGACGAAAAGUACCUUCCGGGGAGACAUCAUAUACUAUAUAUGAUCUAGGCUGUGGACCUAUGUCAGAAACAGUACCAGGUGUCCAAAUACUGUCUGGCUGUUUCUUGAAGUAUAUUUUAUCACCAAUGUUUAGGGAAGACAACGGUUACGGUUACGGCUACUGGUAUAAUGACACUGUUGUUUUUGAAGACAAUGCCAUUAAUAAUGUGUAUAUCAGUUUUUAAAGGAAAAUAAGACCUAAGGAUGUCUGGAAGUAAUUUUUUAUGUUCAGGCCAACCUUCUAUGCAACAUUUACUUAAGAGUGACAAUUCCUUGUCUUGGGAAGUUAGUUCUUGAAUAGAUUUAAGUUUAUUUGGACUAACUGACAGUGAUCUAAUGACUAAAUUGACAUGUAAAUCUAGGUCAGAAUCAAGAUCAUGUAAUGACUGUUCUGGUAAAGCUGCUCUGGACAGAGUAUCAGCUACAUAAAGAUAUUUACCUGGUUUGUAAGUUACAUUGAGGUCAUAUGGUUGUAAUCUCAGCAUUAUUCUUUGAAGACGGGGUGGAAUGUUGUAAAUUGGUUUUUUAUAGAUACUAUUGGUUUGAGGUCUGUUUCAACCAAAGUGUGGCGACCAUAGACAUAUUGGUGAAACUUUGUACAACCAAAUAGGAUUGCUAAUAGCUCUUUCUCAAUCUGAGAGUAUGACUGUUGACAUGAGCUUAAUGAAGCUGAAGCAUAUGCAAUGGGGUGUUUAUCAUGGCAAAUCACUGCACCCAUGGCAUCUUUAGACGAAUCAACUGACAGUGUAAAAGGUUUAUUUUGAUCAUAAUAUGUCAAGACAGGGGCUUUAGUUAUAGUCUCUUUUAAUACAUUAAAUUCUAUGUUAUGUCUCUCUUGCCAAGACCAUUCAUUUUCUUUAGACAAAAGCAUUCUUAAAUUAGAAGUUUUUUCUGACAGAUUCUCUAUGUAUGAGCCUAAGUAUGUUACCAUACCUAAAAAUCUUUGUAAUUCUGUGACAUUUGUAGGGGGUGGCAUACUGCAAAUGGCUUUGACUUUGUUUUCAUCAACUUUCACACCAUCUUUAGAAAAGAUGUGUCUUAAGUACUUGACUUUACUUUUAGAUAUAUUAGACUUUUCUUUAUUAAAUUUUAUUCCUAACUCCCUAGCUCUAUCUAAGACUUGUUUUAAUCUAAAAUCAUGUUCUUCUUUUGUUUGACCAUAAAUUAGGAAAUCGUCCAUCAUAAUUUGGACUCCUGAAAUGUCACUGAAUCUGUUUGUCAUGAUGGAAUGAAACAGUUCUGGAGCUGCAUUUAUCCCGAAGGGUAGUCUUAGGAAUCUAUAUCUACCUUGAGGUGUGAUGAAUGUACAUAGCUU